RNAcentral lists this ribosomal RNA (253 nucleotides) under uncultured bacterium. RNAcentral's name for it is "partial 16S ribosomal RNA". It matches the Rfam family "Bacterial small subunit ribosomal RNA", at positions 524 to 776 of the family's 1533-position model. The record is from RNAcentral.
UACGUAGGGUGCAAGCGUUAAUCGGAAUUACUGGGCGUAAAGCGUGCGCAGGCGGCGCCGCAAGUCAGGCGUGAAAUCCCCGAGCUCAACUUGGGAAUUGCGCUUGAAACUACGGUGCUGGAGUAUGGCAGAGGGAGGUGGAAUUCCACGUGUAGCGGUGAAAUGCGUAGAUAUCUGGAGGAACACCGGUGGCGAAGGCGGCAUCCUGGACCAAUACUGACACUAAAGCGCGAAAGCCAGGGGAGCAAACGGG